Molecule: ribosomal RNA, 806 nt
Filed under: uncultured Nitrospira sp.
Lineage: Bacteria; Pseudomonadati; Nitrospirota; Nitrospiria; Nitrospirales; Nitrospiraceae
Description: bacterial SSU rRNA
Rfam family: Bacterial small subunit ribosomal RNA
Source: RNAcentral
AACGAACGCUGGCGGCGCGCCUAAUACAUGCAAGUCGAGCGAGAAGGCGGGGCAACCCGCUUGUACAGCGGCGAACGGGUGAGGAAUACAUGGGUAACCUACCCUCGAGUGGGGAAUAACUAGCCGAAAGGUUAGCUAAUACCGCAUACGCUUCCGGGGCGACGGUUCCGGAAAGAAAGCGCUUCCGAGGGAAGCGCACUCGUGGAUGGGCUCAUGUCCUAUCAGCUGGUUGGUGAGGUAACGGCUCACCAAGGCUUCGACGGGUAGCUGGUCUGAGAGGACGAUCAGCCACACUGGCACUGCGACACGGGCCAGACUCCUACGGGAGGCAGCAGUAAGGAAUAUUGCGCAAUGGGCGACAGCCUGACGCAGCGACGCCGCGUGGGGGAUGAAGGUCUUCGGAUUGUAAACCCCUUUCGGCAGGGAAGAGGGAGCGGGGCAACCCGCUCGGACGGUACCUGCAGAAGCAGCCACGGCUAACUUCGUGCCAGCAGCCGCGGUAAUACGAAGGUGGCAAGCGUUGUUCGGAUUCACUGGGCGUACAGGGAGCGUAGGCGGUUGGGUAAGCCCUCCGUGAAAUCUCCGGGCCUAACCCGGAAAGGGCAGAGGGGACUGCUCGACUGGAGGCAGGGAGAGGGUAGUGGAAUUCCCGGUGGAGCGGUGAAAUGCGUAGAGAUCGGGAGGAACACCAGUGGUGCAGACGGCUACCUGGCCCUGGCCUGACGCUGAGGCGCGAUAGCGUGGGGAGCAAACGGGAUUAGAUACCCCGGUAGUCCACGCCGUAAACGAUGUGGAGCCGGUGCCGG